RNAcentral lists this ribosomal RNA (119 nucleotides) under Periophthalmus magnuspinnatus. Lineage: Eukaryota; Metazoa; Chordata; Actinopteri; Gobiiformes; Gobiidae. The record is from RNAcentral.
UAUCGCAGCCAAACCACCUUGUCAAAAGCCUGAUUUCGUUAGAUCUCAGAAGCUAAGCAAGGCUGGGCCUGGUUAGUACUUGGAUGGGGGACUGAUGGGAAAAUCAAGUGCCACAAUGG